UUGUAUGUACCCUGAGAAUAAGGAUCGGCUAACUCCGUGCCAGCAGCCGCGGUAAUACGGAGGAUCCGAGCGUUAUCCGGAUUUAUUGGGUUUAAAGGGUGCGUAGGUGGAUUGAUAAGUCAGCGGUGAAAGUUUGCAGCUUAACUGUAAAAUUGCCGUUGAAACUGUCGGUCUUGAGUGCAAAUGAGGUAGGCGGAAUGUGUUGUGUAGCGGUGAAAUGCUUAGAUAUAACACAGAACUCCGAUUGCGAAGGCAGCUUACUGGGAUGCAACUGACACUGAUGCACGAAAGCGUGGGUAUCAAACAGGAUUAGAUACCCUGGUAGUCCACGCAGUAAACGAUGAAUACUAGCUGUAUGCGAUAUACCGUAUGUGGCACAGCGAAAGCGUUAAGUAUUCCACCUGGGGAGUACGUUCGCAAGAAUGAAACUCAAAGGAAUUGACGGGGGCCCGCACAAGCGGAGGAACAUGUGGUUUAAUUCGAUGAUACGCGAGGAACCUUACCCGGGCUUGAAAUGCAGAAGACCGAAGUGGAAACACUUCUUCCAGCAAUGGCUUCUGUGUAGGUGCUGCAUGGUUGUCGUCAGCUCGUGCCGUGAGGUGUCGGCUUAAGUGCCAUAACGAGCGCAACCCUUGCCAAUAGUUACUAUCAGGUUAUGCUGAGGACUCUAUUGGGACUGCCAUCGUAAGAUGCGAGGAAGGUGGGGAUGACGUCAAAUCAGCACGGCCCUUACGUCCGGGGCGACACACGUGUUACAAUGGGGGGUACAGAGGGUUGCUACCUGGUGACAGGAUGCUAAUCUCAUAAAUCCUCUCUCAGUUCGGAUCGAAGUCUGCAACUCGACUUCGUGAAGCUGGAUUCGCUAGUAAUCGCGCAUCAGCCAUGGCGCGGUGAAUACGUUCCCGGGCCUUGUACACACCGCCCGU
Molecule: ribosomal RNA, 926 nt
Filed under: uncultured bacterium
Lineage: Bacteria
Description: bacterial SSU rRNA
Rfam family: Bacterial small subunit ribosomal RNA
Source: RNAcentral